RNAcentral lists this unclassified non-coding RNA (249 nucleotides) under plant metagenome. RNAcentral's name for it is "partial contains small subunit ribosomal RNA, internal transcribed spacer 1, and 5.8S ribosomal RNA". The stretch from base 201 to 249 matches the Rfam family "5.8S ribosomal RNA", at positions 1 to 49 of the family's 154-position model. The record is from RNAcentral.
UCUCCGUAGGUGAACCUGCGGAGGGAUCAUUACAGAGUUCAUGCCCUACCGGGUAGAUCUCCCACCCUAUGUUAUUAUUACUUUGUUGCUUUGGCGGGCCGUUAGGCUCCGGCCCGACUACCGGCCCCGGCUGGUAAGCGCCCGCCAGAGGACCCAAAACCCUGAAUAUUAGUGUCGUCUGAGUACUAUAUAAUAGUUAAAACUUUCAACAACGGAUCUCUUGGUUCUGGCAUCGGUGAAGAACGCAGC